Molecule: ribosomal RNA, 505 nt
Filed under: uncultured Actinomycetes bacterium
Lineage: Bacteria; Bacillati; Actinomycetota; Actinomycetes
Description: bacterial SSU rRNA
Rfam family: Bacterial small subunit ribosomal RNA
Source: RNAcentral
ACCUGAUGCAGCGACGCCGCGUGAGGGAUGAAGGCCUUCGGGUUGUAAACCUCUUUCAGCAGGGAAGAAGCGAAAGUGACGGUACCUGCAGAAGAAGCACCGGCUAACUACGUGCCAGCAGCCGCGGUAAUACGUAGGGUGCGAGCGUUGUCCGGAAUUAUUGGGCGUAAAGAGCUUGUAGGCGGUUUGUCGCGUCUGCCGUGAAAAUCCGGGGCUCAACCCCGGACUUGCGGUGGGUACGGGCAGACUAGAGUGUGGUAGGGGAGACUGGAAUUCCUGGUGUAGCGGUGAAAUGCGCAGAUAUCAGGAGGAACACCGAUGGCGAAGGCAGGUCUCUGGGCCACUACUGACGCUGAGAAGCGAAAGCGUGGGGAGCGAACAGGAUUAGAUACCCUGGUAGUCCACGCCGUAAACGUUGGGAACUAGGUGUGGGUCUCAUUCCACGAGAUCUGUGCCGCAGCUAACGCAUUAAGUUCCCCGCCUGGGGAGUACGGCCGCAAGGCUA